CCAGCUCCAAUAGCGUAUAUUUAAGUUGUUGCAGUUAAAAAGCUCGUAGUUGGAUUUCGGGUGGGGUGGUGCGGUCCGCCUCUGGUGUGCACUGCUCCGCUCCACCUUCCUGCUGGGGACGGGCUCCUGGGCUUAAUUGUCCGGGACUCGGAGUCAGCGAUGUUACUUUGAGUAAAUUAGAGUGUUCAAAGCAAGCCUACGCUCUGAAUAUAUUAGCAUGGAAUAACACGAUAGGACUCUGGCCUAUCUGUUGGUCUGUGGGACCGGAGUAAUGAUUAAGAGGGACAGUCGGGGGCAUUCGUAUUCCAUUGUCAGAGGUGAAAUUCUUGGAUUUAUGGAAGACGAACCACUGCGAAAGCAUUUGCCAAGGAUGUUUUCA
RNAcentral lists this ribosomal RNA (379 nucleotides) under uncultured Chlamydomonas. RNAcentral's name for it is "SSU rRNA". It matches the Rfam family "Eukaryotic small subunit ribosomal RNA", at positions 585 to 972 of the family's 1831-position model. The record is from RNAcentral. Lineage: Eukaryota; Viridiplantae; Chlorophyta; Chlorophyceae; Chlamydomonadales; Chlamydomonadaceae.